CCUACGGGCGGCAGCAGUGAGGAAUAUUGGUCAAUGGCCGGAAGGCUGAACCAGCCAUGCCGCGUGAAGGUCAGUGCCCUAUGGGCGUUAAACUUCUUUUGUGCGGGAGCAAUAAUGGUCACGUGUGGCCAGACGAGAGUACCGUACGAAUAAGCAUCGGCUAACUCCGUGCCAGCAGCCGCGGGAAUACGGGGGAUGCAAGCGUUAUCCGGAAUUAUUGGGUUUAAAGGGUGCGUAGGCUGUGAGGUAAGUCAGCGGGGAAAUGCCCCGGCUCAACGGGGUGAAGGGCCAUUGAUACUGCCUGGCUGGAAUGCGGAUGCGGUGGGAGGAAUGUGUGGUGUAGCGGUGAAAUGCAUAGAUAUCACAAAGAACACCGAUUGCGAAGGCAUCUCACGAAUCCGCGAUUGACGCUGAUGCACGAAAGCGUGGGUAUCAAACAGGAUUAGAUACCCUGGUAGUC
This 460-nucleotide ribosomal RNA is filed under the name uncultured bacterium. RNAcentral describes it as "partial 16S ribosomal RNA". It matches the Rfam family "Bacterial small subunit ribosomal RNA", at positions 338 to 795 of the family's 1533-position model. The record is from RNAcentral.